AACGAACGCUGGCGGCAUGCCUAACACAUGCAAGUCGAACGAGACCAUCGGGUCUGGUGGCGCUCGGGGGCGGAGCGCGUGGGAACCUGCCCUUAGGUUCGGAAUAAUUCCCUGACAGGGGUGCUAAUACCGGGUAAUUUCUUCGGACAAAAGAUUUAUCGCGCUUGGGUGGGCCCGCGUUGGUCUAGCUGGUUGGUAGGGUAAAAGCCUAUCAAGGCGACGAUCCAUAGCUGGGCUGAGAGGCUGGUCAGCCACACUUGGGCGAAGACGCGGCCCGGACUCCUACGCAAGGCGGGCGAGCCGAAUAUAGCACGACGGCGUGGGUCCUGAUCGCGCUCUGCUGGGUGAGUCAUGAUGUCGGUAGGGUAGUGAAGCUCUUUUAUCCGGCGUGAUAAUGACGGUACCGAGAGAAUAAGCACCGGCUAACUCCGUG
RNAcentral lists this ribosomal RNA (433 nucleotides) under uncultured bacterium. RNAcentral describes it as "partial 16S ribosomal RNA". It matches the Rfam family "Bacterial small subunit ribosomal RNA", at positions 29 to 507 of the family's 1533-position model. The record is from RNAcentral.